This 464-nucleotide ribosomal RNA is filed under the name uncultured Klebsiella sp. RNAcentral's name for it is "bacterial SSU rRNA". It matches the Rfam family "Bacterial small subunit ribosomal RNA", at positions 338 to 795 of the family's 1533-position model. Lineage: Bacteria; Pseudomonadati; Pseudomonadota; Gammaproteobacteria; Enterobacterales; Enterobacteriaceae. The record is from RNAcentral.
CCUACGGGUGGCUGCAGUGGGGAAUAUUGCACAAUGGGCGCAAGCCUGAUGCAGCCAUGCCGCGUGUGUGAAGAAGGCCUUCGGGUUGUAAAGCACUUUCAGCGGGGAGGAAGGCGUUAAGGUUAAUAACCUUGUCGAUUGACGUUACCCGCAGAAGAAGCACCGGCUACUCCGUGCCAGCAGCCGCGGUAAUACGGAGGGUGCAAGCGUUAAUCGGAAUUACUGGGCGUAAAGCGCACGCAGGCGGUCUGUCAAGUCGGAUGUGAAAUCCCCGGGCUCAACCUGGGAACUGCAUUCGAAACUGGCAGGCUAGAGUCUUGUAGAGGGGGGUAGAAUUCCAGGUGUAGCGGUGAAAUGCGUAGAGAUCUGGAGGAAUACCGGUGGCGAAGGCGGCCCCCUGGACAAAGACUGACGCUCAGGUGCGAAAGCGUGGGGAGCAAACAGGAUUAGAUACCCGAGUAGUC